This 582-nucleotide ribosomal RNA is filed under the name uncultured bacterium. RNAcentral describes it as "partial 16S ribosomal RNA". It matches the Rfam family "Bacterial small subunit ribosomal RNA", at positions 355 to 932 of the family's 1533-position model. The record is from RNAcentral.
UGGGGAAUAUUGCACAAUGGGCGCAAGCCUGAUGCAGCCAUGCCGCGUGUGUGAAGAAGGCCUUCGGGUUGUAAAGCACUUUCAGCGAGGAGGAAGGUGGUGAGCUUAAUACGCUCAUCAAUUGACGUUACUCGCAGAAGAAGCACCGGCUAACUCCGUGCCAGCAGCCGCGGUAAUACGGAGGGUGCAAGCGUUAAUCGGAAUUACUGGGCGUAAAGCGCACGCAGGCGGUUUGUUAAGUCAGAUGUGAAAUCCCCGGGCUCAACCUGGGAACUGCAUUUGAAACUGGCAAGCUAGAGUCUCGUAGAGGGGGGUAGAAUUCCAGGUGUAGCGGUGAAAUGCGUAGAGAUCUGGAGGAAUACCGGUGGCGAAGGCGGCCCCCUGGACGAAGACUGACGCUCAGGUGCGAAAGCGUGGGGCAGCAAACAGGAUUAGAUACCCUGGUAGUCCACGCUGUAAACGAUGUCGAUUUUGGAGGUUGUGCCCUUGAGGCGUGGCUUCCGGAGCUAACGCGUUAAAGUCGACCGCCUGGGGAGUACGGCGCAAGGUUAAAACUUAAAUGAAUUGACGGGGUCAUAGCUG